Molecule: transfer RNA, 73 nt
Filed under: Haliotis rufescens (red abalone)
Lineage: Eukaryota; Metazoa; Mollusca; Gastropoda; Lepetellida; Haliotidae
Description: tRNA-Tyr
Rfam family: tRNA
About the family: Transfer RNA (tRNA) molecules are approximately 80 nucleotides in length. Their secondary structure includes four short double-helical elements and three loops (D, anti-codon, and T loops).
Source: RNAcentral
CCCGUCAUAGCUCAGUUGGUAGAGCGGAGGACUGUAGAUCCUUAGGUCGCUGGUUCAAAUCCGGCUCGCGGGA